Molecule: ribosomal RNA, 355 nt
Filed under: cf. Gyptis sp. 39 PB
Lineage: Eukaryota; Metazoa; Annelida; Polychaeta; Phyllodocida; Hesionidae
Description: partial 16S ribosomal RNA
Rfam family: Bacterial large subunit ribosomal RNA
Source: RNAcentral
AUAAUUAUAAAUUAAUUUUUAGGUGAAGAAGCCUAAAUAAAGCUAAAAGACAAGAAGACCCUAUCGAGUUUUACUAUUAGGUUAGAUAUGUAAAAAUUUUUAUAUUUUACUUAGAUGAUAUGUAGUUUAAUUGGGGCGAUUAGAGAAUACAGUUAGCUUCUCUAUUAUAAAGAAAAUAAUUCUUGUAGAAGAUCCACUAAUAGUGAUCGAGAGACUAAUACUACCGUAGGGAUAACAGGCUAAUUUCUUUAGAGAGUUCAUAUUGACAAAGAAGAUUGGCACCUCGAUGUUGGCUUAAAUUUUCCUUUGUAUGCAGCAGUAUAAAAAGGUUGGUUUGUUCAACCAUUAAAAUUUU